UCUUUUCUUUUGAUAGGAGAGUUUUUAAAACCAGUGUUAUUUUUGUAAGUUUAAGAGAAGUUUGUGUAUUGAAUUUUUAAUAUUAAAGAGCUUUGUUAAACUUAGACUUAAGUUUAGGUCAUUUUGGGGGUUUAGCUCAGUUGGCUAGAGCAUCGGCUUUGCAAGCCGAGGGUCAAGGGUUCGAGUCCCUUAACCUCCAUUGGGCUUAUGUCCUAAAUUGUAAUUAAGUAUGUUUUUAAGCAACUUUAUUAAAGUAAUUGUUGGAAUGUGAAACAGAGGAAGUUAAAAUUUCUGGGUUAAGUUGAGAUCUGUUGAUAUUAAGAAGAAUCUCUAGAAGCAAAAGCAAGCUUUCGAUAACACCCGAAGUUGUUUCGCUAAAGUGCAAGGAUUAAACAGGAUUGUAUUUUCCAGUAGCCUAUUUUAUAAACGAUCUGCAUUUAGUAAAUAGUUUUUAGUUAGGAAAUAAUGUAUAUUGCUAAGUGUGAUGUC
RNAcentral lists this unclassified non-coding RNA (489 nucleotides) under Borreliella burgdorferi (Lyme disease spirochete). RNAcentral's name for it is "partial 16S-23S ribosomal RNA intergenic spacer". The stretch from base 126 to 199 matches the Rfam family "tRNA". Lineage: Bacteria; Pseudomonadati; Spirochaetota; Spirochaetia; Spirochaetales; Borreliaceae. The record is from RNAcentral.